GGGAGGGUGGUCUAGCUUGGUAUGAUACUUGGCUGGGGGCCAAGUGGCCGGGGGUUCGAGUAACAAGAAGGAUCUUCUUGAUAGAAUAAAUCCCUCCCCUCCCA
RNAcentral lists this transfer RNA (104 nucleotides) under Promethearchaeota archaeon. Its description in RNAcentral is "Candidatus Lokiarchaeota archaeon (permafrost metagenome) tRNA-Pro". It matches the Rfam family "tRNA". Rfam says of the family: Transfer RNA (tRNA) molecules are approximately 80 nucleotides in length. Their secondary structure includes four short double-helical elements and three loops (D, anti-codon, and T loops). The record is from RNAcentral. Lineage: Archaea; Promethearchaeati; Promethearchaeota.